Long non-coding RNA from Pungitius pungitius (ninespine stickleback), 1210 nucleotides. RefSeq lists it as uncharacterized. The transcript has 3 exons. The record is from RefSeq and is a predicted model, not a curated record. NCBI's taxonomy places the organism in Eukaryota, Metazoa, Chordata, Actinopteri, Perciformes, Gasterosteidae.
CACCGGACCACAAAGCCGCCUCCGUGUGACACCUCUCCGGCUCCUCUGUGGCGGCCUCAAAGGGGCCCCGCGGGGGGGCCGAGCCGCAGCAUGAGAACCUCCGGGUCAGCAGAACCGUCGGGACGCUGCUUCUUGUUGACGUUGUAAAAUCUCCGCGCGUUCAUUCCGUGACGGACGAGCACACGACGCACGAGCUUUAAAACCAAGUUUAUAUUUUAAGUGAAGAGCAGGAACAGAGCUGAUGUGGAACAACAUGGCCGACGUGCGGAACAAGACGCCACGGUUUUCACCUCUCGGCCUUUCCCUCUCCUCCCUCGCUCCGUUUGAAAACAAAGCCCCUCCCACCCCCGGCUUCACGUCAAUCACCCGCCCCACCCGCCCCUGAUCCCGGGGCCACCGCCGGACCGUCGCCUAGGCAACGGCCAUCACAUGACGACGCCCCGGUCCUCCGUUUCUCCACUCCUUCCACCUCCUCCUCCACCUCCUGCUCCUCCUACACGUCGCGUGGACCCCUCGGAGAGACGGAAAGAGAAUUAGAGAUGUCUCUUAAUAAGAGUCCCGGUGCUGAAAGAAAAUGACCAAUAUUCUUCUUCAGGCAGGAAGUGAUUGGAACUGCGGACAUUUUUCUUUUUUUGUGAGAAACCAGCGCGGGAGAUUAGCUCGAUUAAGGCCAAAUCAGACCUGCUUCCAAUCUGAUGAGGGAAGAAGAAGAUAAUGGUUUCUCAUGCGGCUCGAGGGAAUUAAAGCGCGCUUUGUCUCUCUGUCUCUCUGGGUGACUUCGGCCCCACAACCAAUCAGAGAGGAGGAAGCUAAUGUCACAUUUCCUCCUGUGAAUUACCUUCAUGUCCAACAUGGUUUCAUUAGGUGAAUUCCGUUUUAAAUGGGGGGGGGGGGGUUGGUUUUAGACUUUUGAAAAUAGUUGGGUAGAAAAUUAGUGUAAAUGUGUGAAAAUAGCCGCAGAUGUAGAAGUACAGCAGUAACCUGCAGGUACUCACAGCAACAAUUCAGAUUCUAAUCAGAUACUCUAAACACAAGUUCUCCACAUUUGUUUCUCUUGAUUAAAGAAACACAAAUCCUGCAAAAGACUUUCAACUUCUCACUGGUUGAGUCCUGCAAUGUUGAUGUAUGUUGACAGAAUAAAGUCUUUGGGUGAAAAUGGUUUUAAUGAGUGUUGUUGGCAGAUAGUAAUAGUAUCGCUGGUAGCCCAGAG